This is a non-coding RNA of Phrynosoma platyrhinos (Desert horned lizard), 72 nucleotides long. NCBI's taxonomy places the organism in Eukaryota, Metazoa, Chordata, Lepidosauria, Squamata, Phrynosomatidae. The record is from the annotation of a GenBank genome assembly.
GUCAGCAUAGUGUAGUGGUUUGAGUGCUGGACUAUAACUCUGGAGGCUAGGCUUCAAAUCCCUGCUCAGCCA